Long non-coding RNA from Alnus glutinosa, 671 nucleotides. RefSeq lists it as uncharacterized. The transcript is spliced from 3 exons. The record is from RefSeq and is a predicted model, not a curated record. NCBI's taxonomy places the organism in Eukaryota, Viridiplantae, Streptophyta, Magnoliopsida, Fagales, Betulaceae.
UCCAGAAUCUCCCACAAACACACGCAUAUAUAUCCCUCUUUAAUGGAUGACCACCAUUCUCUCCGGUGGCCUCCGGGCAAAUGCGAAAAACAUACUUACCUUAAACCGUCCGCCGUGGCCGCGCUUCACUCUCAAUCCUCACUCUGAAAAAACCAUCAACCCUCUCUCCCUCUCUCUCCCUCUCAGGUGUAGUGGUGACAUGUGAAGUGCCGAAUUCGGUUUUGUUAAGUUUGAGCGGUACCGGAAUCCACUUCAUGAGUUUAAAACAAGGCGUUUCGCCAAAACUUGCGGACAACAAGCAACAGCAGAAGUGUUGGAAUGGGAGGACUAGGAAGGAUAUAUAAGGUAGGAUAAAUUUGAAAAUUUUGAGAGUAUUUUGAAAGAAUCCAGGUGUUGUUAUUAAUCCUUAAUAUUUGUAGGGAAAACAUAAAGUAUUUAUAAGCAAAUCUUUACAGAGAAAAAUCAAGAGUGAUUUUGUUACUGCCAGAAAUACAAACAUGCUAAAGUCGCCAGAGACACGAACAUGCCGAAGCUCUUCCUAUCUGCUUGGAAUCUGUUCACCGGAGAAAGAGGGAGAGAGGGUUUUUGUGAGGAAACUUGAGAAAAUUUGAGGGAAAUAAAGAUUUUAUCUGUUGGUUUCAGCGUGAGGUUUUCUUUUUUUCUUUUUUUCU